Molecule: long non-coding RNA, 1419 nt
Organism: Bos taurus (domestic cattle)
Lineage: Eukaryota; Metazoa; Chordata; Mammalia; Artiodactyla; Bovidae
Source: Ensembl
CUCUGGCAGAUGGAUCUGUUUAUUGGGAAAAGUUAAACAACUAACAGUAGUCAACAUUUAGUGGAUAUAUUCUCUAUUCCAGAUGCUUAUCUAAGCUUUACAAAUAUUAACUCAUUUAGUCCUCUCACUAACUCUAUGAGGCAGUUUUUAUUUUCAGAUAAGGAGACUGAGUCACAAAGAGGUUAAGCCCAAGACCACAUAGUUGUCAGAGACUGUGGCAGUGGCCAGGUUGUAGUGCCUUCUGAAAAGUACUGUACUACUUCCUGGAAUGACAGCAAAUGUUCUCACAACAGGUGUCCUUAUAAACAUGUUUUACACAUAAAUAGCUAAUUUAUAACAACCCUGUCAUUAGGUGGUUUUAUCUAGUAUCACGAAUGAAGUUCUAAAAUAAUUUUUGAAAUUUUAACAUGAAUUGUAAAAACAACAAGAACAAAACAAUUCUGGCAGGAAGACAGUAGAUCUCCUUGCUAUCCCUGACUCUCCUGUGAUUUCUUCCCACAGUGUUUCUAUGGAAGCUGAAUGGUGGGAUGAAGGUGUGGAGUGCUGUCUAGGGAGGGUCAAGGAGAACAGGAAAGUAGUCAUGUGUGGAUGUGAGAGUUGGACCAUAAAGAAGCGCCAAAGAAUUGAUGCUUUUGAACUGUGGUGUUGCAGAAGACUCUUGAGAGUCCCUUGGACUGCAAGGAGAUCAAACCAGUCAACCCUAAAGGAAAUCAACCCUGAAUAUUCAUUGGAAGGACUGAUGCUGAAGCUGAAGCUCCAAUACUUUGGCCACCUGGUGUGAUGAGCCAACUCAUUAGAAAAGAGGCUGAUGCUGGGAAAGAUUGGAGGCAGGAGGAGAAGCAGACGACAGAGGACAAGAUGGUUGGAUGGCAUCACUGACUCGAUGGACAUGAGCCUGAGCAAGCUUUAGGAGAUAGCAAAGGACAGGGAAGCCUGAAGUGCUGCAGUCCAUAGAGUCUCAAAGAGUUGGACACGACUGAGCAACUGAACAACAACAGGAAGCUACUAAACAUUGUAGUCCAACUCCAUACACUGUACAACCUGAUCACGUUAAGAUGAAUACAGAUGCAACUUCCUGUUGCAGUUGAAAUAAGGAUGAUUCAGGUGGCCUCCUGGGAUCCAAACCCCAAAGCCUGUAGUACAUAAUUAUGUCUCCUAUCUCUAGAGACACCCAGACCAAGCUUCCUGGGAGUAUCUAAGCCCACCCCGCCACUCCAUCACAGACACACAGAAAGUACUCUUCUUACUCUGGGCAUGUCUGAAGGCCCAUCAGUCACCUAAGAAUUGGAGAACUUUCUAGGGGCCUCUGCAUGUGUGACUAUUUUAUAUUCUGCACUUCUAAUCUUGCUUGGUGAAGCUUGUACUGCUGAAAAGCAGCUUAUGUCGCUCUUUUCAAAAUAAAGUCUUUUUUAAAAGUAA